AGUAACGCGUGGGUAACCUGCCUCAUACAGGGGGAUAACGAUUGGAAACGAUUGCUAAUACCGCAUAAGCGCACAGUACCACAUGGUAUAGUGUGAAAAACUCCGGUGGUAUGAGAUGGACCCGCGUCUGAUUAGCUAGUUGGUGAGGUAACGGCCCACCAAGGCAACGAUCAGUAGCCGACCUGAGAGGGUGACCGGCCACAUUGGGACUGAGACACGGCCCAG
RNAcentral lists this ribosomal RNA (225 nucleotides) under uncultured bacterium. RNAcentral describes it as "partial 16S ribosomal RNA". It matches the Rfam family "Bacterial small subunit ribosomal RNA", at positions 109 to 334 of the family's 1533-position model. The record is from RNAcentral.